Mustela lutreola (European mink) is the source of this 562-nucleotide long non-coding RNA. RefSeq lists it as uncharacterized. Lineage: Eukaryota; Metazoa; Chordata; Mammalia; Carnivora; Mustelidae. The record is from RefSeq and is a predicted model, not a curated record. The transcript is spliced from 3 exons.
GGAACUGAAGUCAGUGGGGAUCCUGCCUCUCUCUGAGAGGACAGGUGUUUCCAGCCCCACUCCACGGUGGCUGGCUGUUCAGCGUCACUGAGGCUCCCUGGGCCCUGCUCUGCUGAGAGUUUACUUUCUGCUAACCUCUUUAAUGUGUCUGUUUGUUUGAGCCUCCCAACAACUGUGUGAGGCGAGCAGAAUUAGCUCCCCUACUUUGCAGACGACAAAACUGGAGAGACUGAAUGAGGUGCAGCUAAGAACGGGGAUUCCGAUGCAAGUCUGCUACCUCCAAAGGAAAGCAAGCCAAGGAGUCAGAAGGGGGAGGCAGUCCCAUUGCCCUGCCCUGCGCCAGGUCUUCUGUGCACGCUGGAGUGGUUGUGGGAAUGAGCACAGGGUUUGGAGAAGCCAAGCUCCCAGUCAAGGCUGCCUCUGGCCCUGGAAGGAUCCCACUGAACCUGUCUAAAGAGCAUUCUCCUUGCUGAUGGAAGUAGUUGAAGUUGGAGACAAUGACGGGCACAGGCAGGGCGAUGGUGAGGACCCCAGCGAUGGCACACAGCGAGCCCACGAUCUU